Molecule: ribosomal RNA, 362 nt
Filed under: uncultured eukaryote
Lineage: Eukaryota
Description: partial 18S ribosomal RNA
Rfam family: Eukaryotic small subunit ribosomal RNA
Source: RNAcentral
CAAUAGCAUAUAUUAACGUUGUUGCAGUUGAAAAGCUCGUAGUUGAACUUUUGGUAGGAGCGACCUGGCCUUGGGCGCAUGCCCUUGUUUGCCGUGUGUCGUAUCUGGCCAUCCUUUUCUUCUUUUUGGAAGGAAUCCUUUACUGUGAGUAAACUGGAGUGCUCAAAACAAGACGUUUGUUUGGUACAUUAAAGCAUGGAAUAAUAAGAUAGGACCUGGUUACUAUUUUGUUGGUUUGCAUAGCUAGGUAAUGAUUAACAGGGACAGUUGGGGGUAUUCGUAUUUAAUUGUCAGAGGUGAAAUUCUUGGAUUUAUGAAAGACGAACGACUGCGAAANCANNNACCAAGGAUGUUUUCAUNAA